GAAAAGAAACCAACAGGGAUUGCCUUAGUAACGGCGAGUGAAGCGGCAAAAGCUCAAAUUUGAAAUCUGGCACCUUCGGUGUCCGAGUUGUAAUUUGAAGAAGGUAACUUUGGAGUUGGCUCUUGUCUAUGUUCCUUGGAACAGGACGUCACAGAGGGUGAGAAUCCCGUGCGAUGAGAWGCCCAAUUCUAUGUAAAGUGCUUUCGAAGAGUCGAGUUGUUUGGGAAUGCAGCUCUAAGUGGGUGGUAAAUUCCAUCUAAAGCUAAAUAUUGGCGAGAGACCGAUAGCGAACAAGUACAGUGAUGGAAAGAUGAAAAGAACUUUGAAAAGAGAGUGAAAAAGUACGUGAAAUUGUUGAAAGGGAAGGGCUUGAGAUCAGACUUGGUAUUUUGCGAUCCUUUCCUUCUUGGUUGGGUUCCUCGCAGCUUACUGGGCCAGCAUCGGUUUGGAUGGUAGGAUAAUGACUAAGGAAUGUGGCUCUACUUCGGUGGAGUGUUAUAGCCUUGGUUGAUACUGCCUGUCUAGACCGAGGACUGCGUCUUUUGACUAGGAUGUUGGCAUAAUGAUCUUAAGCCA
This 576-nucleotide ribosomal RNA is filed under the name Debaryomyces hansenii. Its description in RNAcentral is "eukaryotic LSU rRNA". It matches the Rfam family "Eukaryotic large subunit ribosomal RNA", at positions 56 to 647 of the family's 3401-position model. The record is from RNAcentral. Lineage: Eukaryota; Fungi; Ascomycota; Pichiomycetes; Serinales; Debaryomycetaceae.